UUUUUUUUAAUGUAAAAUCAUUGCUUUAAACCAGCACACAGACAUGUAGGUAUUUCCUUGCUGGAUCAGACAAAAUGUCUGGCCCCUGCCUUGUGCUCCUGAUACUGGCCAACACCUGUGUUCAAUUACCCCUCCUUCAGAGGGAUAGUCCUUCUGCUCAGAAGUUUGGGCGUUGCUGGUACUUCUCACUGUUUCCAUCCGAACGGAUGCAGGUACAUUCCUGUUGUCUGCCAGCCUUUGCCUCUGUUGGUUUUUAAUUUGUCCCUUUUAUUUUAUAUUUAAAGCAACAUAAACCAGAGUAGAUUCUGCAUGAGGAGUUAUAAAGGCAGAUGCUUCCUUUUGACAACCUUUAAUGGGACACUUUAUUUUACAGGGCAGAAAAGCCAUGUAACAAUUCUGUAAUUACAAAUGUGUAACUAUUGAGCGUAUAACUGGCUGGUAAGUAACCUGGAACUACAAGGUUAUUACACGGGCAUUUCUAUCUUCUGAAAUACUUUCCAGAAGGUCUCUCUUUAGAGAAGUGCAUGUUACAGGAUGAUGGCAACUGGAUGAUUGAGACAACUUCAUGUGUUGUCCUCUAUCUGGGAUGUGUAGUUGCUUUGUGGUCACUUGAUCUUAGCAGCUUCACUGCAGAGUGGUUGCACAGAUUUACAUGCCCUGUAAAAUAGCGAUGUCCGCUCUUUUUUGCCUGCAUCCGUGCAGUUUCAGAAAUUGUACGUUCCUCCUCCCCAGCUGCAGGUGGAAAAAAGCAAGCAGCAAAGUCAAAAGAAGAGUUAGCUCAGGAAAAGAAGAAAGAACUAGAAAAACGGUUACAGGACGUCAGUGGGCAGCUAAACAACAACAAGAAACCUGCAAAGAAAGAGAAAUCCGGCUCCGCUCCCUCCGGAGGCCCUUCCCGCCUCAGCAGCAGCAGCUCCUCCGAGUCCGGGAGCAGCAGCUCCAGCGGCUCCAGCUCGGACAGCAGCGACUCGGAAUGACUUACGGACACUUACACACACAAAAUGGACAUCACCCUCACCGAUGCUCUGCAGUGUUCCUUUUUCUUCUUAAUAUACUGCUCUUGUUCCACGGUGGUCAGGUUUUUUUUUUUUUCCCCUUUCUCUUUCUCUGACUUUUUUUUUUUAUUUUAUUUUUUAAUUCAGUGUUAUAAAAAGGUAUCUUCCAUUUUUUUUGGGGGUCGCUCUUUUAAUAGGUCAAAGAUCUUUGCGUGUGCGUGCGUGUGACAAGACUUUAUGACAAAACAGUUCCCUUUGCAUAAAGUCUCUAAAAUACAUUUUAACUGAAGAAGAUUGGUUGAAAAUGGAAGAACUUCGAACUCUUAGCAGGAGAUAAAUAGAAAGUUCUGCAAGGUUUGUAGUACGUUUCCCUCCCACCCCUUCCCUCUCCCCAAAAUGUUCUCUUUUAAUAAGCCUGCCUGGCUCACACAAGGUAAAAAAAAAUAAUCUUUUUUUAAAGAAAACUCUGUAAAAUGGUACUGUAUCUGAAAGAUGUUAGCUUUUGAACUAGUUGGUGUAUUUGUUAUUAGCACUAGUAUUCUUAAUCUCGAAGUCUACAGUGUGAUGAAAAUGCCAGAUGCUAUCAUCUUUUUACAUAAAAACAAAAAAAAACCCAAAAAAAUUCUCAUGUACUGUGGAUUGCUAACAUGCUUUUUUUUUUUAAAUCUUGGUAGAGGCAUAGGCACCUGUUCAGGAAGGUAUUUAAGCAUGAACUUAACUUUAGGCACAUGAGCAAUAGAAGUGGUUGCAUUUCUUGUUUUUCCACUCAAAAUUUUUCAUUUUUCUCGGGGGACGCAUUGGGAAGGCGGGAGCAAGGGACACUCAAGUUUCUUGGGAAUGUUAUUUUUUAACAUCAAAUAGAUAAUUUCCAGGAAAUUGACGCUCUCUAUGAAAUUUUUUUCAUUUAAUUGAAAACCAGUUUUUUGGCUGGAAGUUCUCAGCCGGGCCUGGGAGUGAUCCCUGCAGAGUGACCAAGGCAUGUCAUGUGCUCGUUAUUAGACACUUGCUUAAGUGCUUUCUCCAUGACAAGCACCUCUGUCUGGGCUUAAAAUAAAGGAGCACUCGAGCUCCAGCUGAGGCUGAGCUGGCAGCGGAUCUGGGGAGGGAUGUUGUGUGUGUUUGGGGUUGUUGUUUUUUUCUUUUUCCCCCCUCAUUUAUCAUUUCAGUAGUGAACUCCUAGAAGGGGAUUCUACUUCUGUGUCCUGCAGGGUGCAGGGUUGCAGACGCUGAAAUGCUUACCUCAAUAAAAAGAAAAAAGAGGGGAGGGAGAAAAAAAAAAGACGUUUUUUUAAGGCUUACAAGUUUUUUGAGUCCAGCCUAAUGUUUUGACCUGCACUGCUGCAAUAUGCUCUGUUUUCACUGUCCCUAAUUUUGUGUAUAUACAAAUACUUUAUUUAUUAAACACCAUUGGUCAUUUAAAACUUACUAAAAAAAAUAACAAAAGCCAAGCUGCAUUAUGUAGACCAGCAGAAGUGCAGACUUCUAAUGUGGUUUGAACCAGAUUAAAAAAAAAACAACAAAAACAACAAAACCAACAACAAAAGAGCAAAUAAAAAAUUGAGACUUUAUUUAAAUCCCAUGGACUUUAUACCUACAGGUGCUACAGUCCAGUUUGUCGUGUGUCUGGUGCUCUGUCACGUUCGGUGUGUUCAUUUUUUAUUUUCUCUCUUCUUCAUCUUUUCACCCCAGCCCCCUUUUUUCCUGUUUUGUACAGAUUUUGGAGACAUACAGAUAAAUAUAAUUCCUUGAUGCAGCACAUUAUUAUUAUCAUCUCUGUAAUAUUUCCAGAGGUCUUUUUCACCUUUUUUUUUUUGUUGUAGAACAGUGGCUUUUUUCUUUUAUAAUCCAGUUUUAGGAAAACACCAGUUCUAUAAUUAUAUAAAAUUUGUAAUCCAAGGGGCAGAAAUUUAUUGUAAAUUCUUAACUUUUUAUUGUAAAGAAAAAAAAAUAUACAGAGUUUAACAGAAAGUUAUGCCUUUCCUUCUCCCAGACCAGCCCCUAAGGCUGCCCCUCUGCUGUGGGGCAGCCCUAAAAUUCACCCUGCUGUGGUCUCUAACAGUGGUUUGCCAGAGGCUGCGCGGUGCGGAUUGCACCAGCGUUUAUUUUUCAUGUAGGUUUGUGGCCCUGGAAGACUCCUCAGCCCCAGCACAGGGUUUUGGCUCAGCCUUCAGGAGCUGGGACGCGCGGUGUCUGGGGGUGAUGUCCUUUUGCUGGGUGAGCCCAGGGACAGCCCGUGAUUAGCACUCCAUGGUUUGCACUUGUAACUGCAUCCACACUCAGCUGCUGGUCACUUAUUGCCCAUCCACUGAGGUUUUAUUUAAUUAGCUAAACAUGCAUCUAUCUUUAAAGAUCUCUCUCUCAAAGCUCAGCAUUUCAGAGCGCUCAGCCGUGCUCAUAGGGCUGACAUACCUCUGUCUGUGUCUAUCUGUGUAGUGACAAUAACCCUCUAUCCACAGUUUGCUGUAGAAAAGAACUCCCUUUUUUUUAAUCAGAGGGCUGAGAGCGCGAUGCUGUGUUGUUGUGAGGCACCGAGUUCCUCCUGUGAGUUGCUGGGCAUCCUUGGCUGGUUUUGCAAUGCCCAGGGUGCUUGGCCGGUUGGCAGGAAGCUCUCCAGUCUCUGCAGGUAGCUUCCUGUAGUAUUUCAAAGUGGAUGAACUAGGGUGAUUCUUACUGAAAGUGAUGAUUUUUCUUUUCCAUUAACAAUGGAGUUAUUUUUAGUUCAUGUGUUUAAUUCUGCCCUUAAAGAAAUCUUCACUUAGACAGGUCCUUAGUAAUAUAUUUGCAGACUUUACUAUGAGGAAAUGUAAUAUACACCUAAUUAAGAGCUUAGGUUGGUUGUUGUUUUUCUUUUUUAAACGGGGUUGGGUUCCAUCUGUGUUUCUCCUAUUGUCUGAGACUUGCAUUAUCAAAACCAGCUAGUGUUUUAAUUAAAAUAAUUUGAACUGAUUCAGUAGCAUGCCAACUUGGAUAAACCAGCUCCCAGUUUUCCCUGCUUGAAACCUUUUUCCCCGUGCGUUAACCGGAGCCGUGCCGUUGAUGGGACGUGGUGGUUGCUCCUGUGGAGAACAAACUGCAGUUGUGUUGGAGGCCAUAGACACCUGCCUGGUGGCCACCAUCACAGCAUCAGCACCAGGCAAAGCCCAGGACCUGGCUCUGCACUGCACCACCGUCCUCCAACAUCAGGGACAACCCCGUGGAGCGUGGCCCAGGGUACAGACGUUCCUCUAGGACAUACAGGUCUGUCCCACCAAAAUCAGCGGAGGGGUUAGAGCCAAAGGGUUGGGGACCAAGGGAUGGAAAGGGGCCUGGCCUGAGACUGUCUGCAGCGCUGGAGGAGGAGCCCUGUUUUAGUGGGCUAAACCUGUCCCUGGCUUGGGGAUUUGCAAGGAAAACAAGCAACCAAAACCAGCAAGGAAUACGAAGAACCACCUGCUUGUCUUUGAUACACUCAACUGCGACCUGGGCUACCACUCAGUGGGAAACUUCUUGUUUUCAUGGAAAUGGCCGUUCACAGGAGAAAUCCCUUUUGGCAUGAGCCUUGCAGGAAAGAAAUCGGUGACUCUUCAUUUCAAAAUGUUCUUACACUUUUUCAUUUUCGUGUUGUUUGUAGUGUUCACUAUCUCCCGCCAUGUCAGUAGUGGUGCCUCUUGUUAUCUCCAGAUCAGAGUGUCUCCAGGAAAGAAGAGAUGUUUUCAGUCCAUAGUAAGUAGCAGCAGCCCUUAAUGAGUUGGAAACUGAAACAAUAGAGCAUUUAUUUGAGUUUGUGUGACAUGUCAGUACAGAUGUCAUGAAAUAACUUUACGAUUGAACCUAGAACAUUUGAAAUAACAUUUUUAAACUUAAGAAUAAAAAAAAAAAGAUUGAAGUUUUUAUGGUAGAAUUUUUCUUGAACGAACAAAGUUUAACUUUGUUUUCCAGGGGAAACGUCACUGAAAUCGGUAUGAUUUCAUAUGUAUACGUGCACACAAAUAGUUUUACUGAAACUUGUUUUUUUUCCUGAGCAGUUCCUCUUUUGACAAAAUAUCUGACCAGACCUAUUAUCGCUCAACCAGCAUUUACUGCACCUUUAAAACCUUUGUUAACCUUUUGUCUGAUGGUGAGAUCAGCCUGUUCCUUGGCAGUAGCAUCAGGUGUAGGCUCAGUGGGGCCAGAGGGAGACCCCCAUCCCGUGGGCUCAGGCUGGGAUCUGUCUCCUGAAGGGAACAUGAUGCCUACGGCACUUCUCUGCUCAAAAACAUCUGUGCAAAACCCUCUCCCAGCCUUGUAGCGAUGGUGAUGGCAAACUUUUCCUACCGACAGGGUUUGUAACUGUAGAAAACUGAUAUUUCAGGACUGUGUCGCUGUUGGUUGUGAGUGUGUGUCUGAGACAGGUGCACACCCACAGACACGUGUGUGCGUGUACAUACACACGUUAGUUACCCCAUGUUCUCUGUGUGGUAGAAGCAGACUGCAGUUACCUAAUCUAGUUCUUUCUCUCUUUUUGGGGACUCUUAGACCAGUUUUUAAUUAUUUUUUUUUUUUUCCUUAUUUUGAAAGGAAUGAUGUUUUUUAAAGUCGGGGUUGGAGCUGGGGGGAAGGGAAGGGGUUGGGACAAAGAAAAACCACAACUUUUUUAGUACUGGAUUUUAAAAAGACAUAUUCUCAGUCAUGAGCAGUUACCACUAGGGCUAACUGUGGGCAGGCUCUGCGUUGUUGAAGAUAAAUUUUAGGGCGAGGAUUCAUUACACUAGAAGCAUUAUCUUGCUUGUAAAACAACGAGAUGCAUUUUUUUAAAAGAAAUGGUAUUUGCAUAUCUUUUUAAAUGUCCUUUUUAAAAAAUAAAUAAGUCACCAGCUAGGAUUUGACACAGGCCACUUAGAACUUACCCCUGAUACUGGCAUAACCAAUCCAGACAUAUUUGUUGUUGUAUUUUUGUUUUGUUUUGGAUUUUUUUUAAUAUUUAAAAAAAAGUUACUUUUCUGUAUGAUGUGCAUGCAAAUUUACCGUAACUCUCUUUCUUAAAACUUUUUAGUGCCAUUUCUAGUAUAUUCCUGUAAAUGUCAGUUACUGAAAAGAAAUGAGUCAAUGUAAGUAGUUUAGCUUGUUUAUUGCAAAUUGCUGGCCUCAAACACAACAGAAUUAAAAAAGAGUUAGAAAGUAAUCUUUGAUGUUACUGGUAAUCAUGGACCCUGGUCCUGGGGCAUUUGUUUUGUUUUCAUAAUAAAAAGAAAAAUUGUUUUGUGCGUGCA
This is a long non-coding RNA of Calidris pugnax (ruff), 6223 nucleotides long. RefSeq lists it as uncharacterized. The record is from RefSeq and is a predicted model, not a curated record. The transcript is spliced from 3 exons. NCBI's taxonomy places the organism in Eukaryota, Metazoa, Chordata, Aves, Charadriiformes, Scolopacidae.